This 253-nucleotide ribosomal RNA is filed under the name uncultured bacterium. RNAcentral's name for it is "partial 16S ribosomal RNA". It matches the Rfam family "Bacterial small subunit ribosomal RNA", at positions 524 to 776 of the family's 1533-position model. The record is from RNAcentral.
UACGGGGGGGGCAAGCGUUGUUCGGAAUUACUGGGCGUAAAGGGCGCGUAGGCGGCCUGCUAAGUCGGACGUGAAAUCCCUCGGCUCAACCGGGGAACUGCGUCCGAUACUGGUGGGCUCGAAUCCGGGAGAGGGAUGUGGAAUUCCAGGUGUAGCGGUGAAAUGCGUAGAUAUCUGGAGGAACACCGGUGGCGAAGGCGGCAUCCUGGACCGAUAUUGACGCUGAUGCGCGAAAGCCAGGGGAGCAAACGGG